GAUCAUGCUCAGGACGAACGCUGGCGGCGCGCCUAACACAUGCAAGUCGAACGAGAGAGAGGGAGCUUGCUUCCUCAAUCGAGUGGCGAACGGGUGAGUAACGCGUGAGGAACCUGCCUCAAAGAGGGGGACAACAGUUGGAAACGACUGCUAAUACCGCAUAAGCCCACAGGUCGGCAUCGACCAGAGGGAAAAGGAGCAAUCCGCUUUGAGAUGGCCUCGCGUCCGAUUAG
RNAcentral lists this ribosomal RNA (233 nucleotides) under uncultured bacterium. RNAcentral describes it as "partial 16S ribosomal RNA". It matches the Rfam family "Bacterial small subunit ribosomal RNA", at positions 15 to 244 of the family's 1533-position model. The record is from RNAcentral.